Molecule: ribosomal RNA, 361 nt
Filed under: uncultured Paenibacillus sp.
Lineage: Bacteria; Bacillati; Bacillota; Bacilli; Caryophanales; Paenibacillaceae
Description: bacterial SSU rRNA
Rfam family: Bacterial small subunit ribosomal RNA
Source: RNAcentral
GCUGGCGGCGUGCCUAAUACAUGCAAGUCGAGCGGAUCUUGUCCUUCGGGACAAGGUUAGCGGCGGACGGGUGAGUAACACGUAGGCAACCUGCCCUCAAGACUGGGAUAACCUCCGGAAACGGAUGCUAAUACCGGAUAUGCGGUUUCUCCUCCUGGAGAGAUCGGGAAAGACGGAGCAAUCUGUCACUUGGGGAUGGGCCUGCGGCGCAUUAGCUAGUUGGUGAGGUAACGGCUCACCAAGGCGACGAUGCGUAGCCGACCUGAGAGGGUGAUCGGCCACACUGGGACUGAGACACGGCCCAGACUCCUACGGGAGGCAGCAGUAGGGAAUCUUCCGCAAUGGACGCAAGUCUGACGGA